AAGUCGUAACAAGGUAACCGUAGGUGAACCUGCGGUUGGAUCAUUAACAAAUUAAAAAGGAGAGGGAAACCUCGACUUUCACAUUGCGAACUUUGCUAGUUAGGUGGGUUAAAACAGCUUUAGCAAUAGAGCUGGAGUUUGCCUUAUGGUGAGCUAACCUAUCUGUUAUAAACUUUUAACAAGUCUAUAAAACAAAUUUAACAAAAAACAACUUUUGACAACGGAUCUCUUGGCUCUC
Molecule: unclassified non-coding RNA, 238 nt
Filed under: fungal sp.
Lineage: Eukaryota; Fungi
Description: partial internal transcribed spacer region
Rfam family: Eukaryotic small subunit ribosomal RNA (bases 1-46)
Source: RNAcentral